RNAcentral lists this ribosomal RNA (373 nucleotides) under uncultured organism. RNAcentral's name for it is "partial 16S ribosomal RNA". It matches the Rfam family "Bacterial small subunit ribosomal RNA", at positions 527 to 896 of the family's 1533-position model. The record is from RNAcentral.
GUAGGUGGCAAGCGUUGUCCGGAAUUAUUGGGCGUAAAGCGCGCGCAGGCGGUUCUUUAAGUCUGAUGUGAAAGCCCACGGCUCAACCGUGGAGGGUCAUUGGAAACUGGAGAACUUGAGUACAGAAGAGGAAAGCGGAAUUCCACGUGUAGCGGUGAAAUGCGUAGAGAUGUGGAGGAACACCAGUGGCGAAGGCGGCUUUCUGGUCUGUAACUGACGCUGAGGCGCGAAAGCGUGGGGAGCAAACAGGGAUUAGAUACCCUGGUAGUCCAGGCCGUAAACGAUGAGUGCUAAGUGUUAGGGGGUUUCCGCCCCCUUAGUGCUGCAGCUAACGCAUUAAGCACUCCGCCUGGGGAGUACGGCCGCAAGGCUG